GAGGAAUAUUGCACAAUGGGCGAAAGCCUGAUGCAGCAACGCCGCGUGGAGGAUGAAGGCCUUCGGGUCGUAAACUCCUUUUCUGGGGGACGAGAAAGGACGGUACCCCAGGAAUAAGUCUCGGCUAACUACGUGCCAGCAGCCGCGGUAAUACGUAGGAGGCGAACGUUAUCCGGAAUUACUGGGCGUAAAGCGCACGCAGGCGGCUUCGUAAGUCCGACGUGAAAGCUCCCGGCUUAACUGGGAGAGGCCGUUGGAUACUGCGAGGCUCGAGGUUAGGAGAGGAAAGUGGAAUUCCCGGUGUAGUGGUGGAAUGCGUAGAUAUCGGGAGGAACCCCAGUGGCGAAAGCGACUUUCUAGCCUACACCUGACGCUGAGGUGCGAAAGCGUGGGGAGCGAAC
This 401-nucleotide ribosomal RNA is filed under the name uncultured bacterium. RNAcentral's name for it is "bacterial SSU rRNA". It matches the Rfam family "Bacterial small subunit ribosomal RNA", at positions 356 to 773 of the family's 1533-position model. The record is from RNAcentral.